GAUAAAGAAGGGAAUUAAACCAAUGUGAGUAGGUCUACAGCCUACCGCCUAUCACUCGGCCACUUUACC
This 69-nucleotide transfer RNA is filed under the name Anolis auratus (grass anole). RNAcentral describes it as "tRNA-Tyr". The record is from RNAcentral. Lineage: Eukaryota; Metazoa; Chordata; Lepidosauria; Squamata; Anolidae.